RNAcentral lists this ribosomal RNA (915 nucleotides) under Microbacterium sp. DBT29. RNAcentral describes it as "bacterial SSU rRNA". It matches the Rfam family "Bacterial small subunit ribosomal RNA", at positions 72 to 998 of the family's 1533-position model. Lineage: Bacteria; Bacillati; Actinomycetota; Actinomycetes; Micrococcales; Microbacteriaceae. The record is from RNAcentral.
AGCCAAGCUUGCUUGGUGGAUCAGUGGCGAACGGGUGAGUAACACGUGAGCAACCUGCCCUGGACUCUGGGAUAAGCGCUGGAAACGGCGUCUAAUACUGGAUAUGAGACGUGAUCGCAUGGUCGUGUUUGGAAAGAUUUUUCGGUCUGGGAUGGGCUCGCGGCCUAUCAGCUUGUUGGUGAGGUAAUGGCUCACCAAGGCGUCGACGGGUAGCCGGCCUGAGAGGGUGACCGGCCACACUGGGACUGAGACACGGCCCAGACUCCUACGGGAGGCAGCAGUGGGGAAUAUUGCACAAUGGGCGAAAGCCUGAUGCAGCAACGCCGCGUGAGGGAUGACGGCCUUCGGGUUGUAAACCUCUUUUAGCAGGGAAGAAGCGAAAGUGACGGUACCUGCAGAAAAAGCGCCGGCUAACUACGUGCCAGCAGCCGCGGUAAUACGUAGGGCGCAAGCGUUAUCCGGAAUUAUUGGGCGUAAAGAGCUCGUAGGCGGUUUGUCGCGUCUGCUGUGAAAUCCCGAGGCUCAACCUCGGGCCUGCAGUGGGUACGGGCAGACUAGAGUGCGGUAGGGGAGAUUGGAAUUCCUGGUGUAGCGGUGGAAUGCGCAGAUAUCAGGAGGAACACCGAUGGCGAAGGCAGAUCUCUGGGCCGUAACUGACGCUGAGGAGCGAAAGGGUGGGGAGCAAACAGGCUUAGAUACCCUGGUAGUCCACCCCGUAAACGUUGGGAACUAGUUGUGGGGACCAUUCCACGGUUUCCGUGACGCAGCUAACGCAUUAAGUUCCCCGCCUGGGGAGUACGGCCGCAAGGCUAAAACUCAAAGGAAUUGACGGGGACCCGCACAAGCGGCGGAGCAUGCGGAUUAAUUCGAUGCAACGCGAAGAUCUUUACCAAGGCUUGACAUAUACGAGAACGG